GGGGCUGCAUAGCUUCGACAGUUGUACUUUGAAGUCCGUGGCAAGCAAAACGCCGCCGUAUGCGAAAUACGGCAUCAACAAAUGCUAACUCAUUUGUUAACAAAGUGAAGGCCGCCUUUAUGCCGGCCUUUGCUCCGGCCGUAGCUUAAUACGACUGGCGUCAACCUUCUCGACUCCGAUAGUGAAGAAUUGACGUAUUAUCUUCGGACCGCCUUCAGCUUCGUCGCGCAGUUGAUUGGCGGAAGUUAGCGCGAAUCGGACUGCCGGUAUUUUGUCCGCUUUCAGCCGGUGAUCUUAGACUACUAAACGGAAUAUGCUUGUAGAGGCGGAUUUCCUCGACUUCUGGACGCGGGUGCGAUUCCCGCCAGCUCCAUUA
Molecule: transfer-messenger RNA, 376 nt
Filed under: bacterium
Lineage: Bacteria
Rfam family: transfer-messenger RNA
About the family: Bacterial tmRNA, also known as 10Sa RNA or SsrA, is named for its dual tRNA and mRNA-like properties.
Source: RNAcentral